UACAGAGGGGGCAAGCGUUGUUCGGAAUUACUGGGCGUAAAGGGCGCGUAGGCGGCCUUCUAAGUCGAACGUGAAAUCCCCGGGCUCAACCCGGGAACUGCGUCCGAUACUGGAAGGCUUGAAUCCGGGAGAGGGAUGCGGAAUUCCAGGUGUAGCGGUGAAAUGCGUAGAUACCUGGAGGAACACCGGUGGCGAAGGCGGCAUCCUGGACCGGUAUUGACGCUGAGGCGCGAAAGCCAGGGGAGCAAACGGG
This 253-nucleotide ribosomal RNA is filed under the name uncultured bacterium. RNAcentral describes it as "partial 16S ribosomal RNA". It matches the Rfam family "Bacterial small subunit ribosomal RNA", at positions 524 to 776 of the family's 1533-position model. The record is from RNAcentral.